Molecule: transfer RNA, 72 nt
Filed under: Danio rerio (zebrafish)
Lineage: Eukaryota; Metazoa; Chordata; Actinopteri; Cypriniformes; Danionidae
Also listed under: 7 other names
Description: tRNA-Asp (GTC) (tRNA-Asp-GTC-3-1)
Rfam family: tRNA
About the family: Transfer RNA (tRNA) molecules are approximately 80 nucleotides in length.
Source: Rfam by way of RNAcentral
UCCUCGUUAGUAUAGUGGACAGUAUCUCCGCCUGUCACGCGGAAGACCGGGGUUCGAUUCCCCGAUGGGGAG